Molecule: ribosomal RNA, 1692 nt
Filed under: Candidatus Methanoperedens sp.
Lineage: Archaea; Methanobacteriati; Methanobacteriota; Methanomicrobia; Methanosarcinales; Candidatus Methanoperedentaceae
Description: partial 23S ribosomal RNA
Rfam family: Bacterial large subunit ribosomal RNA
Source: RNAcentral
CCACGAAAGGCCAGGUGAAAUACAGCGCCAAUGCGCUGCCAGAUAAGGAUCUUACAGUCGUCUAUACCACAAACAAUCCUCCUUUAAACGGCACCCUUUGACCCGGGGAUCUCCGAAUGGGGCAACCCUCCCGAUUGAACAUCGGGAACGGCCCGCUGAAUCCAUAGGCGGGUACGAGCUAACCCAGGGAAGUGAACCAUCUCAGUACCUGGAGGAAAAUAAAGCAAGCGCGAUUCCGUCAGUAGCGGCGAGCGAACGCGGAACAGCCCAAACCGGGCGCUCCUCAGAGCAGUGACGAGUGAGAAGUGACGAGUGACGAGUCAGGAAGAAAAGCGGCCUGUCACUGGUCACUCGUCACCUGUCACUGUUCUUGGGAGCGUCCGGGGUUGUAGGGCGUGCGCCGGUUUAGAGCCAGAGAGUUACCAAACCAGCGGCUAGCCGAGCGAUUUGGAAAAAUCGGCCAAAGAGUGUGAUAGCCACGUAGGCAAAAGCUGACUGGACUCUCGCGCGCGUUCCUGAGUACCGCGGGGCACGAGAAACCCUGCGGGAAUCCACGGGGACCAUCCCGUAAGGCUAAAUACGUGCUGGCGACCGAUAGUGAACUAGUACCGUGAGGGAAAGGUGAAAAGCACCCCUGCGAGGGGAGUUAAAAGUACCUGAAACCGUAUGCCUACAAGCAGUCGGAGGGCUACGCACUGGUGGCAACACCAGAGCAGGCCUGACGGCGUGCCUAUUGCAUAAUGAGCCGGCUAGUUAUUGUCCGUUGCGAGGUUAAGCGAUGAUCUGUCGCAAGACAGGGAGCGAGCCGUAGCGAAAGCGAGUCUGAAUAGGGCGAUUAGUGGCGGGCAAUAGACGCGAAGCGGGAUGAUCUACCCUUGGUCAGGGUGAAAGCCGCGUAACAGCGGCCGGAGGCCCGAACCGGUGUUGGUUGAAAACAGCUCGGAUGAACUGAGGGUAGGAGUGAAAGGCCAAUCAAAUUCCGUGAUAGCUCGUUCUCCCCGAAAUAGCUUUAGGGCUAGCCUCGGAUGGUCGCUCGCGGUGGUAGAGAACUAGAUGGACUAGGGUCCGUUAACGGAUACCGAAUCCAACUAAACUCCGAAUGCCGCGAAGCGUAGUCCGGGAGUCAGACAGUGGGGGCUAAGCUUCAUUGUCGAGAGGGAAAUAGCCCAGACCGUCAGCUAAGGUCCCGAAGCGAUGGCUAAGUGGGAAAGGAAGUGAAGUCGCUCAGACAGCCAGGAGGUUGGCUUAGAAGCAGCCAUCCUUUAAAGAAAGCGUAACAGCUCACUGGUCGAGCGUCUUUGCGCCGAUAAUUCAACGGGGCUCAAGCCAUCUACCGAAGCUGCGGAUUUCGUGGCGCGUCACCCGGUCUAUUGGGGAUUAGCGUGAUUGACUGAUCGUGUCUUUUGACUUUUGAUAUCAUUAAGAUUAUCAAUGGUUGGGAGACGCGGCGGGUCAACGACGUCUUUCUCAAUGGCUCGCGUGAUGCGUCACGGAGUGGUAGGGGAGCGUAGCGUACAGUUUGAAGCGGGACCGCGAGGGUCCGUGGACGGUACGCCAGUGACUCUGCCGGCAUAAGUAGCGAUAACGGAGGUGAGAACCCUCCGCGCCGAAAGUCUAAGGUUUCCUGAGAAAGGUUAAUCCGCUCAGGGUCAGUCGGUCCCUAAGGCGAGGCCGAAAGGCGUAGCUGAUGGA